Molecule: long non-coding RNA, 3357 nt
Filed under: Mus caroli (Ryukyu mouse)
Lineage: Eukaryota; Metazoa; Chordata; Mammalia; Rodentia; Muridae
Description: lncRNA (MGP_CAROLIEiJ_G0006091.1)
Source: RNAcentral
ACAGCCAAGCUGGUCCACCCGGCCUUGAGGCCUUGGGCAGGUGGCACAGAGGCCGACUGCAGGCUGGAGAGCCAGCUCUAGGGAGGCAGAGCUAAGACACAGGUGUCUGACACCAGGCACCUCAGCUCCUGGAACCUGCGCUGCCCUGAUUAGCUAAGUACAAAGGCAGUUCGAAUUACUGCCUCUCCCCAGCCAAUCGCCUGCUGGCCUGGCUGACAGGAGCAGGCCCCCUGAUGUCAGGGACGUCCGCUCACUGGCUAGAACCAAGAGAGCCGGUUUCUACCGUGCCCGCUGGCAACCCUGCUCCAGGCACCUUAGAGCUGUUUGUCCGGUAAAGAACUCUCUCUCUCUGCCCGCCCACAGCGCCGCCCCAGGGUCCUCAAACACUCAAACGCGCUGUGCAAUGAAGGCAAGGCCAAGCUCUUUCUCGCCUUCUCUGCCUGGUUCUGGACGCCCAGAUCCCUGUGCAGCUGAUGGAACUCCAUUUUGUUAUUAGCUACGGCUUUUUGCAAGCGAGACUUUCUUACAGAAACUGGGAGACAAGGAGACACAAAUACAAAGAAAGAUCUUUUUACAGUCACCGUUCUGAACAAUGAAAUCCAAUAUUGGAGGGGGAAAAAAUCACCUCAGAUGUGAAAACAGAUAAAACUCCAGCGAAGUGGGCACCGCAUCCCACUGUGGGCAGGGCUGUCCUGGACACCCUAAAACCCAGCCAGCUGAAGCCAUUGUAUGCCCUUGAAAUGGCAAUCCUUUGCAGCUGUAUGGCUAGGCAGCGCUUGAUUCAAGUUUGGUAUUUGCCCCAGACUGUAGAGGUCAGCUUAACAGUAACCAUAGACACAAAGAAAGAGAGAACAGCGCACACAGAAAAAAAAAAAAAAAAAAAAAAAAAAAAACGGCACUCCGAGUGUGCCUGAGUUCGUGGGUAUGUAAAUGGCUUUUCGUUUGUCUGGAAUGCUAUGGUGUGUGUGUAUGUGUGUGCCUGUUAUGUGCACAUGCACAAGUUUCAGGAAGAGUCUUAGGAAGAGUCUAAUAGACUAAAGUAAUGGACUGAGCCACUGGGAGUCCUACCUUGAAAAGCAUUAAUGAAGUUCUCAAGAGGGUAGUUAUUAUAUACAUAUAUGUUUAUAUAUAUAUUAUAUUUAUAUUAAUAUAAAUUCAUAUUAAUAUAUCCCCGUAUAUGUUAUAUUGUUAAAAGAUAAUAUUGUACUAAUUUUCAUAAAUUUAUACUAAUAUAAAUUAAUUUUUAUGCCUGGCAUGGUGACACACACCUUUAAUCUCAGCACUCAGGAUGCCAAGUGGACUGGACUGUAUUUAGUUAUAGCAAUGGAAAGUUAUCAAGUACAGAUACCCUUCACAGUCACCAUAAACAACUUUGAUACAGACAAGCUUCUCACAUUGGAAUGUAUAGGAAUCUUCUUCAUUUAGCAGAGGAACUGGACACACAGGACUGCUUGCUUCCCUGCCCACCAACCAUAGCUCAGGUAAGACCUGCUCUCACAAGCUGGUCGUGGUGGCGCAUCUAGGUGAGUCUUUGACAGAAUAUGAUGUUUUUAUUUUUCCUUUUCCCUAAAAGCCAGUAGCCCCUGGACUGUGGCAUACCCUAUUUUCCGAGCACCUUUUCAAAAACAAACCCAAAGGCUGGAGGGUUUCAUGUUACCCUGCCGAAGAACUGCAGCCUGUGAUGGACGGCCUUGGCGACUGAAGGAUUUUCCUUAAUGAUUUGCACAUGUCCCUUGGGGUGCCCGUUUAUGAUUAGAGAUGAGGGUCCUUGGUGGGAAAGCUGCACGAAGAGCAAAAGCCUGGUUGCUUCACUCGCUUUCUCCUCUUUGGCUGAACUCAGCACGUUUACCUUUCUCUAGGACUUGGUGGCAGAUGGAGUUUGUAUGUAGGGUGCAUUUGGAUGCCUGUCAGCCUUUUUGACUGCAUGUUUACAACAUAUUCCCAAAGCUCAAAGACCUGUCUGUCAGUAGGUUUUUGAAAAUGAGAAGUUUGUCCUUAAUACUCUCUGGAGGAAUGUAAGGAAUUUUAUGAAUGGGGGAGACAGAAAAAGCCUCUUGGCAUCUGACCUGCUUUCCUUUUUCUAGAGCAUUCGCCAACUUCUGACAUGCUAUGCACAGUCCACAUGUAACUCUCUGCAUGUUGUAUGUACUGCCUGUUGCCUGUGCUCACAAGAACGUCAGCUUCUUGAGGACAAGCAUGCUUGGUUAUUGUGUUUGAGUCCUGGGUACAUACAGCAAUUGCUGGCUUAUAUUAGAUGCUUAUUCAGUAAAUUAGGCAUUAUUUAAAAAAAAAAAUCAGGCCGGGCAGUGGUGGCACACACCUUUAAUCCCAGCACUUGGGAGGCAGAGGCAGGCGGAUUUCUGAGUUCGAGGCUAUCCUGUUCUACAGAGUGAGUUCCAGGACAGCCAGGGCUACACAGAGAAACCCUGUCUCGAAAAACAAAAACAAAACAAAACAAAAACAAAACAAAAAAAAUCAGUAAAAGGUCCAGGAGAAAUGAUACUUUUCCCAUAUCACUUAUAGAAUUCACAAUGUGUGUAUGUGUUUUGUGUGUGUGUGUGCAUAGAUAUAUUCAUGUGGGUGUGUGGGUAUGAGUGUAUGUGGAAGCAAGAAGGCUAUGCCCAGCUGGGGAGUGGUAGUGGUGCUGCACACCUUUGAUCCCAGCACUCAGGAGGCAGAGGAAGGCAGAUCUCUGAGUUUGAGGCCAGCCUGGUUUUCAGAGUGAGUUCUAGGACAGCCAGGGCUACAUAGAGAAACCCUAUCUUGAAAAACAAAAACAAAAUCAACAACAAAAGUCUUUGCCUAGUACUCUUCCUUGGUUACUCUCUACCUCCCUCUUUUUUAAGAUCCUGUCUCUCACUGACCCCAGAUGAGUUCCCAAGGCCCUGCAUGUCUCUGUUCCCAAACCCAAUCACUGGCUAACAGAUGCAUAGGUUUUUCAUAAGUGCUUAGGAUCUAUCUUCAUGCUCCGGUGCCUGUCACCAAAUUACCAACUUAGCCACUCCCCCAGCUGCUGUGCUGUGUCUUUGGAAGACAGAAGCAUUGUCAAAUGGAUCACAUUAGUGAGAGUGACAAUGACCACGGGAAUGACAAUGUGCAGCUGAGAAAAGGCUUUGGUUCCAACCAUGGUGGCUUUCAGAAUUAGCUUAGUUGAACUUUGGGAGUGCUCACAUGCAGGCUCCCAACUGAAAGAAAACUGACCAUGGAGCUGGGAGAGAAGCCUGAUGAGCUCAUCAGGUCUCUUCCAGUCCAUUUUCUUUUACUAUCAUAGGAAACUGUAUUUGUUGGAGAACUCCAGAGUGUCUGAAGGAGUCAGAUUUUCCAGGAUGCUCUUGGCAAAUAAACCAAUGCUGCUUU